Non-coding RNA from Chiloscyllium plagiosum (whitespotted bambooshark), 372 nucleotides. Lineage: Eukaryota; Metazoa; Chordata; Chondrichthyes; Orectolobiformes; Hemiscylliidae. The record is from RefSeq and is a predicted model, not a curated record.
UAUCCUAUCUCACGACCUCAUUUUCCUUCUGGUUAUCCAAUCCUACCACUUGUAUCCUUUCCUCUAUUAUAUAGCCUGUGAAGCUAACUUUUCACCAUUCCCUUCACAACUUUGGAACACUAGUGUUUAUUUCAGCAUUCGGCCACUGAAAAGGAAAUCCUGACUGUCCCAGCUCAGAGCUGUUAGAGAAAAAGCAAUGAAAAAUGAACAAUUGAGACCUCUACUCUGCCCAUCAUUACUUAAAGGGAAUUUGGUAUUCGUAGAAAAUUGACAUGAAAGUGAAAGAAGAAAUCCAACUGAAGAAGAAGCUGAAGACCAUAUGUGCCAUGAGAACAGGAAUCAUAUAUCAGCGGCACAGUGGCUCAAUGGCUC